Rosa rugosa (rugosa rose) is the source of this 809-nucleotide long non-coding RNA. RefSeq lists it as uncharacterized. The transcript has 5 exons. NCBI's taxonomy places the organism in Eukaryota, Viridiplantae, Streptophyta, Magnoliopsida, Rosales, Rosaceae. The record is from RefSeq and is a predicted model, not a curated record.
GUAGGGUCGCAGUUGAUAAUGGCUCAGGCAGGAAAGCCACUUUGAUUAAGGUAGAUAGUGCAAUGAGUGUGGAAGUUUGCUACAAGUGGUUCAGGUUCGGAAAUUUGAGUAUCAUUAUAAGAAGGGCUUCCAUUUCUGCAGAUGGGGAUUGGUUCAUGGAUGUGUUUCUUCAUCACUGAUCGAUAGGGGAAUAAACUCUGUGAUGAUGGAAUAGCUGAAUGCGUUCAACAGGAAGUGUUAUUUUUCGGGUGACUGAGGAUAGCUUCCUGGAUCGCCCAAGCACCGAUAUGCAUGAGUCGUGCCUCAAUAUUGACAAAGAUUGCUGUUAGGCAAACUGUAAUGAACCAUUUCUAGAUUGUUUGGUGUUAAAUAGUCCAUGGAUCAGCUGAUGAGUCCACUCCAGUUGAAGAUGCAUUUGAGUUUGCCAAGAUCAUACCUAACCACAAAAUACAUAUUAUCCAAGGAGCUGAUCAUUGUUACACGUCGAAUCAACCUGAGUUGGACACAGUUGAGUUGGACUUCCUAAAGGCAGCUCUGCAGCAGGACAAGGCUUCUUUCAACUAGCUAGGCACUCUAUGCCUAUCAAUUAGCAUUUAACUUCAUGUUGUGUAUGUCCUGCGUCAUUAGAUUGUUGAUUCUUAUCUUAUGAUGCUGAAUUCUUAUCUUAUCUUAUAUUAAACAAGCAGAGGACUAAUAUGCUCUCUAUUGUUUCUGUAAUAUGUGAAAGAAUCCCAGAAGUGUCUCUGGCAGCCCAAUCAAAUGCCUUUCCUUCCUUCAUUUCUUAUCGAAAUAUGAACAUUUGAUCAAAA